UACGUAGGGUCCGAGCGUUGUCCGGAAUUACUGGGCGUAAAGAGCUCGUAGGCGGUCUGUCGCGUCUGCCGUGAAAACUCAGGGCUUAACCCUGAGCUUGCAGUGGGUACGGGCAGACUAGAGUGCGGUAGGGGAGACUGGAAUUCCUGGUGUAGCGGUGAAAUGCGCAGAUAUCAGGAGGAACACCGGUGGCGAAGGCGGGUCUCUGGGCCGUAACUGACGCUGAGGAGCGAAAGCAUGGGGAGCGAACAGG
RNAcentral lists this ribosomal RNA (253 nucleotides) under uncultured bacterium. Its description in RNAcentral is "partial 16S ribosomal RNA". It matches the Rfam family "Bacterial small subunit ribosomal RNA", at positions 524 to 776 of the family's 1533-position model. The record is from RNAcentral.